This 516-nucleotide ribosomal RNA is filed under the name uncultured bacterium. RNAcentral's name for it is "bacterial SSU rRNA". It matches the Rfam family "Bacterial small subunit ribosomal RNA", at positions 8 to 502 of the family's 1533-position model. The record is from RNAcentral.
AGAGUUUGAUCCUGGCUCAGAACGAACGCUGGCGGCGUGGAUUAGGCAUGCAAGUCGAACGAGAAAGCACCCUUCGGGGUGUUAGUAAAGUGGCGAACGGGUGAGUAACGCGUGGGAAACCUGCUUUCGGGUGGGGGAUAACAGCUCUAACGGGCUGCUAAUACCGCAUGAUGCCCUUGACCGCAUGGUCUUGGGUUAAAGGGGGCCUCUAUACUAUGCUUCCGCCUGAAAAUGGUCCCGCGUCCUAUUAGCUUGUUGGUGAGGUAACGGCUCACCAAGGCAACGAUGGGUAGCCGGCUUGAGAGAGUGGUCGGCCACACUGGGACUGAGAUACGGCCCAGACUCCUACGGGAGGCAGCAGUCGAGAAGCUUCGGCAAUGGGGGAAACCCUGACCGAGCGACGUCGCGUGGGUGAUGAGGGUCCUUGGACUGUAAAACCCUGUCAGGUGGGAAGAAACACCAUUCGGCCAAUACCCGAGUGGCUUGACGGUACCACCAGAGGAAGCUCCGCUAACU